AAGAGCCGAUCCACCGCUUGCUGCGGAGUGCCGGCCGAAUCCUGCUCCAGCACGGGCCAGGGAGCUGCGAACCCGGCCCGGCGAUGGAGAUGCACGACGCGCUCGAGAUUCCACGGAGCGUCGGCGGUCGGUUGAUAAGACUUCCACAAGGACAGGCCGGUUUCAGGAUUCAUACCAUUGGCCUCAUCAUGAUGCGAGAACAGCCAAGACAGAAACGCCUUUCAGGGAAGCCGUUCGACGGUGAUGUCUCCCAGGUCGAGCGUUUCAUUCGCUUUGACCUGGAACUUCUUGGCGAUUUGGAAUUGGUUGUCGAUCCGCGUAACAAUUUGGUAGAUCGCG
Molecule: unclassified non-coding RNA, 339 nt
Filed under: uncultured bacterium
Lineage: Bacteria
Description: contains 16S-23S intergenic spacer region
Source: RNAcentral